This 433-nucleotide ribosomal RNA is filed under the name uncultured bacterium. Its description in RNAcentral is "partial 16S ribosomal RNA". It matches the Rfam family "Bacterial small subunit ribosomal RNA", at positions 29 to 507 of the family's 1533-position model. The record is from RNAcentral.
AACGAACGCUGGCGGCAUGCCUAACACAUGCAAGUCGAACGGGACCUUCGGGUCUAGUGGCGCACGGGUGCGUAACGCGUGGGAACCUGCCCUUAGGUUCGGAAUAACUCCCCGAAAGGGGUGCUAAUACCGGAUAAUGUCUUCGGACCAAAGAUUUAUCGCCUUUGGAUGGGCCCGCGUUGGAUUAGCUAGUUGGUAGGGUAAAAGCCUACCAAGGCGACGAUCCAUAGCUGGUCUGAGAGGAUGAUCAGCCACACUGGGACUGAGACACGGCCCAGACUCCUACGGGAGGCAGCAGUGGGGAAUAUUGGACAAUGGGCGAAAGCCUGAUCCAGCAAUGCCGCGUGAGUGAUGAAGGCCUUAGGGUUGUAAAGCUCUUUUAACCGGGAUGAUAAUGACAGUACCGGGAGAAUAAGCGCCGGCUAACUCCGUG